AGUAACACGUAUCCAAUCUACCUUAUAAUGGGGGAUAACUAGUUGAAAGACUAGCUAAUACCGCAUAAGAACUUUGGUUCGCAUGAAUCAAAGUUGAAAGGACCUGCAAGGGUUCGUUAUUUGAUGAGGGUGCGCCAUAUCAGCUAGUUGGUGGGGUAACGGCCUAAAAAGGCAAUGACGUGUAGCUAUGCUGAGAAGUAGAAUAGCCACAAUGGGACUGAGACACGGCCCAUACUCCUACGGGAGGCAGCAGUAGGGAAUUUUUCACAAUGAGCGAAAGCUUGAUGGAGCAAUGCCGCGUGAACGAUGAAGGUCUUUAAGAUUGUAAAAUUCUUUUAUUUGGGAAGAAUGACUUUAGCAGGUAAUGGCUAGAGUUUGACUGUACCAUUUUGAAUAAGUGACGACUAACUAUGUGCCAGCAGUCGCGGUAAUACAUAGGUCGCAAGCGUUAUCCGGAUUUAUUGGGCGUAAAGCAAGCGCAGGCGGAUUGAAAAGUCUGGUGUUAAAGGCAGCUGCUUAACAGUUGUAUGCAUUGGAAACUAUUAAUCUAGAGUGUGGUAGGGAGUUUUGGAAUUUCAUGUGGAGCGGUGAAAUGCGUAGAUAUAUGAAGGAACACCAGUGGCGAAGGCGAAAACUUAGGCCAUUACUGACGCUUAGGCUUGAAAGUGUGGGGAGCAAAUAGGAUUAGAUACCCUAGUAGUCCACACCGUAAACGAUAGAUACUAGCUGUCGGGGCGAUCCCCUCGGUAGUGAAGUUAACACAUUAAGUAUCUCGCCUGGGUAGUACAUUCGCAAGAAUGAAACUCAAACGGAAUUGACGGGGACCCGCACAAGUGGUGGAGCAUGUUGCUUAAUUCGACGGUACACGAAAAACCUUACCUAGACUUGACAUCCUUGGCAAAGUUAUGGAAACAUAAUGGAGGUUAACCGAGUGACAGGUGGUGCAUGGUUGUCGUCAGC
RNAcentral lists this ribosomal RNA (960 nucleotides) under Mycoplasmoides pneumoniae. RNAcentral's name for it is "bacterial SSU rRNA". It matches the Rfam family "Bacterial small subunit ribosomal RNA", at positions 109 to 1059 of the family's 1533-position model. Lineage: Bacteria; Bacillati; Mycoplasmatota; Mycoplasmoidales; Mycoplasmoidaceae. The record is from RNAcentral.